RNAcentral lists this ribosomal RNA (372 nucleotides) under uncultured bacterium. RNAcentral's name for it is "partial 16S ribosomal RNA". It matches the Rfam family "Bacterial small subunit ribosomal RNA", at positions 338 to 705 of the family's 1533-position model. The record is from RNAcentral.
CCUACGGGUGGCAGCAGUGAGGAAUAUUGGUCAAUGGACGCAAGUCUGAACCAGCCAAGUAGCGUGCAGGAUGACGGCCCUCCGGGUUGUAAACUGCUUUUAGUUGGGAAUAAAAGGGGGCUCGUGAGCCCCGUAUUGUAUGUACCAUCAGAAAAAGGACCGGCUAAUUCCGUGACAGCAGCCGCGGUAAUACGGAAGGUCCGGGCGUUAUCCGGAUUUAUUGGGUUUAAAGGGAGCGUAGGCCGGCUUUUCAGUCAGCGGUGAAAGUCCGCGGCUCAACCGUGGAAUUGCAGUUGAGACUGGAGGCGUUGAGUGCACACAGGGAGGCCGGAAGGCAGGGGGUAGGGGUGAAAUGGUUAGAGAGCAUGAAGA